RNAcentral lists this unclassified non-coding RNA (232 nucleotides) under uncultured fungus. RNAcentral's name for it is "sequence contains ITS1, 5.8S rRNA gene". The stretch from base 184 to 232 matches the Rfam family "5.8S ribosomal RNA", at positions 1 to 49 of the family's 154-position model. Lineage: Eukaryota; Fungi. The record is from RNAcentral.
UCUCCGUAGGUGAACCUGCGGAGGGAUCAUUACUGAGUGAGGGUCUCCGGGCCCGACCUCCAACCCUUUUGUGAACCACCUCGUUGCUUCGGGGGCGACCCUGCCUUCGGGCGGGGGCUCCGGGUGGACACUUCAAACUCUUGCGUAACUUUGCAGUCUGAGUAAACUUAAUUAAUAAAUUAAAACUUUUAACAACGGAUCUCUUGGUUCUGGCAUCGAUGAAGAACGCAGC